CACGUAGGGCGCAAGCGUUGUCCGGAAUUAUUGGGCGUAAAGAGCUCGUAGGCGGUCUGUUGCGUCCGCUGUGAAAACUCGGGGCUUAACCCCGAGCCUGCAGUGGAUACGGGCAGACUAGAGGUAGGUAGGGGAGAAUGGAAUUCCCGGUGUAGCGGUGAAAUGCGCAGAUAUCGGGAGGAACACCGGUGGCGAAGGCGGUCUCUGGGCCUUACCUGACGCUGAGGAGCGAAAGCGUGGGGAGCGAACAGG
Molecule: ribosomal RNA, 252 nt
Filed under: uncultured bacterium
Lineage: Bacteria
Description: partial 16S ribosomal RNA
Rfam family: Bacterial small subunit ribosomal RNA
Source: RNAcentral